UAGUAAUGGCAGGUCAGCAUACUGCCGUGAAUACGUUCCCGGGCCUUGUACACACCGCCCGUCACACCAUGAGAGUUGGAAAUACCCGAAGCCUGUGAGCUAACUUAAAGAGGCAGCAGUCGAAGGUAGAGCCAAUGAUUGGGGUGAAGUCGUAACAAGGUAGC
This 164-nucleotide ribosomal RNA is filed under the name uncultured bacterium. RNAcentral describes it as "partial 16S ribosomal RNA". It matches the Rfam family "Bacterial small subunit ribosomal RNA", at positions 1336 to 1500 of the family's 1533-position model. The record is from RNAcentral.